GUGAGGAAUAUUGCGCAAUGGAGGCAACUCUGACGCAGCCAUGCCGCGUGCAGGAAGAAGGCGCUACGCGUUGUAAACUGCUUUUAACCGGGAAGAAACCCCAGGACGUGUCCUGGGUUGACGGUACCGGAGGAAUAAGCACCGGCUAACUUCGUGCCAGCAGCCGCGGUAAUACGAAGGGUGCAAGCGUUAUCCGGAUUCAUUGGGUUUAAAGGGUGCGUAGGCGGAGCGUUAAGUCAGAGGUGAAAUCCUGCAGCUUAACUGUAGACUUGCCAUUGAUACUGGCGCUCUUGAGUGCGCUUGAAGUGGGCGGAAUGUGCCGUGUAGCGGUGAAAUGCUUAGAUAUGGCACAGAACACCAAUUGCGAAGGCAGCUCACUAAGGCGAUACUGACGCUGAGGCACGAAAGCGUGGGGAUCGAACAGGAUUAGAAACCCUUGUAGUCC
RNAcentral lists this ribosomal RNA (445 nucleotides) under uncultured bacterium. Its description in RNAcentral is "partial 16S ribosomal RNA". It matches the Rfam family "Bacterial small subunit ribosomal RNA", at positions 354 to 796 of the family's 1533-position model. The record is from RNAcentral.